CACGGAGUUAGCCGAUCCUUAUUCGUAAAGUACAUACAAUAAGUUACACGUAACUCUUUUUAUUCCCUUACAAAGAAGUUUACAAUCCAUAGAACCUUCUUCCUUCACGCGACUUGGCUGGUUCAGGCUCUCGCCCAUUGACCAAUAUUCCUCACUGCUGCCUCCCGUAGGAGUCUGGUCCGUGUCUCAGUACCAGUGUGGGGGACCUUCCUCUCAGAACCCCUAAACAUCGUUGACUUGGUGAGCCGUUACCUCACUAACUAUCUAAUGUUACGCAUGCCCAUCUGUAAGCUAUAAAUAUUUAACCGAUCAACCAUGCAGUUAAUCGGUAUUAUGCGGUGUUAGUCCGAAUUUCUCCGGGUUAUUCCCCUCUUACAGGUAGGUUGCAUACGUGUUACUCACCCGUGCGCCGGUCGCCACCAUCGUAUUGCUACUCAUGUGCUGCCCCUCGACUUGCAUGUGUUAGGCCUGUCGCUAGCGUUCAUCCUGAGCCAGGAUCAAACUAC
Molecule: ribosomal RNA, 506 nt
Filed under: uncultured Paludibacter sp.
Lineage: Bacteria; Pseudomonadati; Bacteroidota; Bacteroidia; Bacteroidales; Paludibacteraceae
Description: partial 16S ribosomal RNA
Source: RNAcentral